Molecule: ribosomal RNA, 497 nt
Filed under: uncultured bacterium
Lineage: Bacteria
Description: partial 16S ribosomal RNA
Rfam family: Bacterial small subunit ribosomal RNA
Source: RNAcentral
GAUGAACGCUGGCGGCGUGCCUAAUACAUGCAAGUCGAGCGAACGGACGAGAAGCUUGCUUUUCCGAUGUUAGCGGCGGACGGGUGAGUAACACGUGGAUAACCUACCUAUAAGACUGGGAUAACUUCGGGAAACCGGAGCUAAUACCGGAUAAUAUUUUGAACCGCAUGGUUCAAAAGUGAAAGACGGUCUUGCUGUCACUUAUAGAUGGAUCCGCGCUGCAUUAGCUAGUUGGUAAGGUAACGGCUUACCAAGGCAACGAUGCAUAGCCGACCUGAGAGGGUGAUCGGCCACACUGGAACUGAGACACGGUCCAGACUCCUACGGGAGGCAGCAGUAGGGAAUCUUGCGCAAUGGGCGAAAGCCUGACGGAGCAACGCGGCGUGAGUGAUGAAGGUCUUCGGAUCGUAAAGCUCUGUUAUUAGGGAAGGACAUAUGUGUAAGUAACUGUGCACAUCUUGACGGUACCUAAUCAGAAAGCAACGGCUAACUACGUG